This 496-nucleotide ribosomal RNA is filed under the name uncultured bacterium. RNAcentral describes it as "partial 16S ribosomal RNA". It matches the Rfam family "Bacterial small subunit ribosomal RNA", at positions 28 to 507 of the family's 1533-position model. The record is from RNAcentral.
GACGAACGCUGGCGGCGUGCCUAAUACAUGCAAGUUGAGCGCUGAAGGUUGGUACUUGUACCAACUGGAUGAGCAGCGAACGGGUGAGUAACGCGUGGGGAAUCUGCCUUUGAGCGGGGGACAACAUUUGGAAACGAAUGCUAAUACCGCAUAAAAUCUUUAAACACAAGUUUCAAGAUUGAAAGAUGCAAUUGCUUCACUCAAAGAUGAUCCCGCGUUGUAUUAGCUAGUUGGUGAGGUAAAGGCUCACCAAGGCGAUGAUACAUAGCCGACCUGAGAGGGUGAUCGGCCACAUUGGAACUGAGACACGGCCCAAACUCCUACGGGAGGCAGCAGUAGGGAAUCUUCGGCAAUGGGCGAAAGCCUGACCGAGCAACGCCGCGUGAGUGAAGAAGGUUUUCGGAUCGUAAAACUCUGUUGUUAGGGAAGAACGAAGGUGAAAGUGAAAAGCCCAGCAUGGAACGGAACCAACCAGAAAGGGACGGCUAAACUCGGG